AAAUUGAAGAGUUUGAUCAUGGCUCAGAUUGAACGCUGGCGGCAGGCCUAACACAUGCAAGUCGAGCGGAAACGACACUAACAAUCCUUCGGGUGCGUUAAUGGGCGUCGAGCGGCGGACGGGUGAGUAAUGCCUAGGAAAUUGCCUUGAUGUGGGGGAUAACCAUUGGAAACGAUGGCUAAUACCGCAUAAUGCCUACGGGCCAAAGAGGGGGACCUUCGGGCCUCUCGCGUCAAGAUAUGCCUAG
Molecule: ribosomal RNA, 247 nt
Filed under: Vibrio sp. 10N.286.46.E10
Lineage: Bacteria; Pseudomonadati; Pseudomonadota; Gammaproteobacteria; Vibrionales; Vibrionaceae
Also listed under: 1 other name
Description: partial 16S ribosomal RNA
Rfam family: Bacterial small subunit ribosomal RNA
Source: RNAcentral